Molecule: small RNA, 30 nt
Filed under: Arabidopsis thaliana (thale cress)
Lineage: Eukaryota; Viridiplantae; Streptophyta; Magnoliopsida; Brassicales; Brassicaceae
Description: ATSL133050
Source: RNAcentral
AAACUGAAAGAAAAAAAAGAAGAAAAAAGC